UUAAGGUAGAGGACAAAAAGAAUGGCUAUCAAUUCAAUUUCACUGGUAUAUAUGCUUCAAAUAGUAUGCAAGAAAGAAAUACUCUUUGGUCUGACCUGACUAAUAUUGUAAAUGGCUGUCUCAAUGUACCUUGGAUUGUUCUUGGAGACUUUAAUACUGUUCGGUACACAAAUGAAAAAGAGGGGGGUAGACAACUUUCAGAAA
RNAcentral lists this long non-coding RNA (204 nucleotides) under Musa acuminata (dwarf banana). Its description in RNAcentral is "long non-coding RNA (MACU_LNC008236)". Lineage: Eukaryota; Viridiplantae; Streptophyta; Magnoliopsida; Zingiberales; Musaceae. The record is from RNAcentral.